RNAcentral lists this ribosomal RNA (446 nucleotides) under uncultured bacterium. RNAcentral describes it as "partial 16S ribosomal RNA". It matches the Rfam family "Bacterial small subunit ribosomal RNA", at positions 29 to 523 of the family's 1533-position model. The record is from RNAcentral.
AGCGAACGCUGGCGGCAGGCUUAGCACAUGCAAGUCGAACGGUCCUUCGGGAUAGUGGCGGACGGGUGAGUAACACGUGGGAACGUACCCUUAGGUUCGGAACAACACAGGGAAACUUGUGCUAAUACCGGAUAAGCCCUUCGGGGGAAAGAUUUAUCGCCUUUGGAGCGGCCCGCGUCUGAUUAGCUUGUUGGUGAGGUAAUGGCUCACCAAGGCUACGAUCAGUAGCUGGUCUGAGAGAUGGCCAGGCACACUGGGACUGAGACACGGCCCAGACUCCUACGGGAGGCAGCAGUGGGGAAUCUUGCGCAAUGGGCGAAAGCCUGACGCAGCCAUGCCGCGUGGAUGAUGAAGGUCUUAGGAUUGUAAAAUCCUUUCACCGGGGACGAUAAUGACGGUACCCGGAGAAGAAGCCCCGGCUAACUUCGUGCCAGCAGCCGCCGUAA